RNAcentral lists this transfer RNA (66 nucleotides) under marine eukaryotic metagenome. It matches the Rfam family "tRNA", at positions 5 to 66 of the family's 71-position model. Rfam says of the family: Transfer RNA (tRNA) molecules are approximately 80 nucleotides in length. Their secondary structure includes four short double-helical elements and three loops (D, anti-codon, and T loops). The record is from RNAcentral.
CCUGUAGCUCAGCUGGAUAGAGCAUUUGACUUCGGAUCAAAGGGUCGGGGGUUCGAAUCCUCCCGG